AAAACGAGUAAAAUUGCUAGUAGUAGCUCAUUGUGCUUCUGGUGCAGUAAAACAGAUCAAGAAAACGGAGAGCAAUGGCGGAAGUGCAGAGAAGGGGAAGACCGUUACCUCCACCUCCGGCGAGAGUCCCACCGGGUCCUCCUCCCCUCAGAAUGGGCCCUCGGGUCCAACCCGUUGACCCGUGAAAAGACUUGUCCACUCUUGCUUCGCGUUUUCACCAAGAUUGGAGGCCAUCAUAGUGAUAAUGAUUUUGCCGUGAGAGGCAAGGAACCUAAAGAUGAGGUCCAGAUCUAUACAUGGAUGGAUGCUGCUCUGCGUGAAUUAACUGAUCUGGUUAAAGAGGUUGCUCCAGAAGCAAGACGAAGAGAUGCAAGUUUGUCAUUUGCUUUUGUGUAUCCUGAUAAACGAGGGCGGUUUGUGGUUAGAGAGGUGGGUAGAACGUACUCUUAUCCAAAUGGGAGACGACCCGAUAGUGGCAGCAAAAGCUUGAGUGAACUAAAAUUUCAGAUUGGAGAUUACUUGGAUGUGGCUAUCACGUUCCAGUGACCUGUAAGACUACCCGCAGUAAAAAUAGAACCAUCUAGCCUUGUAGUAUACUUGGUGUUCCUUUUCUUAAACUUCCCUGUCCUUGAUAUGCAUAGCCCCGCUUAUGCAUUAGUUCUUAUAUGCUUGGGCAAUGCUACCUUUUUCUGUAAAAUUAACAUCAAAUCCAGAGUGUCGAUGCAUUCCAGACCUAUAUCUUGUAUUCGUUUAUAUCUGCAAGAUGGUUAAAGUAACAAGUAUCUAAGGAUUUGUUCUAAUGAUCAAUCAAAUGGGUGAUACCCCAUUGAAGACCA
This is an RNA transcript of Nicotiana attenuata, 836 nucleotides long. It is a transcript of the gene named histone deacetylase complex subunit SAP18-like, with no coding region annotated. The record is from RefSeq and is a predicted model, not a curated record. NCBI's taxonomy places the organism in Eukaryota, Viridiplantae, Streptophyta, Magnoliopsida, Solanales, Solanaceae. The transcript is spliced from 6 exons.